Long non-coding RNA from Monomorium pharaonis (pharaoh ant), 1430 nucleotides. RefSeq lists it as uncharacterized. The record is from RefSeq and is a predicted model, not a curated record. The transcript is spliced from 2 exons. Lineage: Eukaryota; Metazoa; Arthropoda; Insecta; Hymenoptera; Formicidae.
AGCGUAAGCGUUAAAAAAUAUAUAUUGUAGCGAAAAACGCGUGGGUCUAUAUCCUUUGUGUUAUUUUUAAGUACCUGAGAGUUUGUUAUUUGCGACAUAUAUUAUAGUAGUUUCUUCUUCGAAGGGCAAUAAAAUAUAGUUUUAUUUUUAUCAUAAUCUGAAAUAAAUAUUUCAUUAUCUUUAAUGUAACGAGGAAUCGGAGAACUUGUUAAAGAGAGGAUUUAAUUAAUGAAUUAUUUUAUUAAUUAUAAUCACGUAAGUGAGUUGAGGUGUUCAUUUGCAAUGUCCAUGGAGUUCGGGAUGCUUGUGAACUUUCCGCAAAUAGUCUCCCACAGAGUAACUCGGUGGGGAUCUUUGACGCAUAAGACGUACAUCCCUACUUCAUGCUACAUCUAGUCGUAAUAGUAAUCAGUUGGAAGUCGAAGACGAAAGAACGAAAGGAAGACGGAUAAAAUCGUCGUACUUUUUAAAAUACAGUGAUACUAUCACAGUGAUUGCAUCGUUCAGUGAAAUAAAUAAGAAAUAAUAUUUGAAAGAAUGAGAUUUUGGUUAACAAGUACAUUUCUAAAAAUUAUUCCCGCAGAAGUUUCUUUUUAUUAUAUAGUUGAUCAAAAUUCAGUUACAAUUUAAAAUAGACACAGUACGCUGACAUGCUCUUCCCUGUAUUAUUCUUGGCAUGACUGAAUCACUAGCACCUGGCUCGCGACGAAGCCAAAAUAGUCUACUACUUCGGCCAGCUUCCUCCGAAAUUACUGUGCUGACGAAGAAAUUACAGUGCAAGCAAAGAUGGUGAUUUAGAUUCAAAGAUAAAUAUAGAUCGUAGAACAGAAUAUCUUCUUGAUGAAUCAGUGUGUUCAUUUGAUCUCUUGAAAACUACUGUCAUUUCAUUUUUAAGGUUAUUUUAAAUUUAUUGAUAAUCAUAUUUUUGUAUCUUUUAUUAAAAAUUACAAUUUAUGAAUUGCGUUCAACAUAUAAAAAUCAUAUAGCUUAAAAAAUUUUUUUUAUUAAUUCCAAAAUAGAAGAGAAAAUUGUGUUUUUAAAAAAAUAUUUGUUUGAUUCGAAAUUUCUUUUAGCGUGAUUACACGAGAUCACUAAUUAAAUUUUAAACGUUAGAUUUAAAAAUAUAUAUAUAUUUAUUUAACGUAAAACACACAUAUAUUCGAGGGCAUGUGUCGUUAUUGCAUGUAUCAUUAAAAUAUAUAUACAUAUAUAUAUAUAUAUAUAUAUAUUUUAUAUAUAUAUAUAUAUAUAAUGUAAGUUUGUGACAAAUAACAUGUCUUAACGAUACAUGCAAUAGCGAUACAUGCCUUCAAGUCUUUAAAGAUCCUGAAAACAUAUAUGCGAUAAAUUUUGAGAUAUGUACAAAUUAUACAACACAAACUUAUAAUGUUUUAAUUUUAUUAAUUAAUAAAAUUUAAAAGAUACGUAUA